CAGCCUAGUCACCAACAGAAGGAGGAAUGCUGUCUAGGCUAUAGUGACUCUCUUGGAGGUAAUAGCUGCAAGAACUCUCCCAACAGGGACUUCUGUGCAAAAGGCUGAGUAAAUUGCCCUUAUGAGAGCCUUGCAUCUGUCCAAAGGCCCUGGAGAAAUGCAGAGAUGCAGGUUUAACCAGGUCCAUCAGGGUGUCCAGUUUCAAUCACUAACUGCUGGAACUGAUCCUCAGACAAGCCAGGACUCAAGUACAAGCCCACCUACAACCAGAUGAGCCCUUAGGGCCACUGGGGCCAUUUCUGACUUUGUGCUCUUCACAUACUUCCUUACAUUAGAAUAAUGUAAUUGUUCAGUAUGUUGUGCUUUAAUUUUUUAAGAAAAUGUCAAAGGCUAGCCAUGACACGGUUAUGUGUAUUUCUUUUAACUUUUCCAUAAAUAUUAAAUAAUGUAAUUGUUCAGA
This 460-nucleotide long non-coding RNA is filed under the name Homo sapiens (human). RNAcentral's name for it is "non-protein coding lnc-AKR1C2-6:4". The record is from RNAcentral. Lineage: Eukaryota; Metazoa; Chordata; Mammalia; Primates; Hominidae.